This 430-nucleotide ribosomal RNA is filed under the name Pseudomonadota bacterium. Its description in RNAcentral is "Proteobacteria bacterium partial 16S ribosomal RNA". It matches the Rfam family "Bacterial small subunit ribosomal RNA", at positions 355 to 776 of the family's 1533-position model. The record is from RNAcentral. Lineage: Bacteria; Pseudomonadati; Pseudomonadota.
UGGGGAAUAUUGGACAAUGGGGGGAACCCUGAUCCAGCCAUGCCGCGUGUGUGAAGAAGGCCUUAUGGUUGUAAAGCACUUUAAGCGAGGAGGAGGGUACUGGUAUUAAUACUACCAGGUACUGGACGUUACUCGCAGAAUAAGCACCGGCUAACUCUGUGCCAGCAGCCGCGGUAAUACAGAGGGUGCGAGCGUUAAUCGGAUUUACUGGGCGUAAAGCGUGCGUAGGCGGCUAAUUGAGUCGGAUGUGAAAUCCCCGAGCUUAACUUGGGAAUUGCAUUCGAUACUGGUUAGCUAGAGUGUGGGAGAGGAUGGUAGAAUUCCAGGUGUAGCGGUGAAAUGCGUAGAGAUCUGGAGGAAUACCGAUGGCGAAGGCAGCCAUCUGGCCUAACACCGACGCUGAGGUACGAAAGCAUGGGGAGCAAACAGG